CGCCCAUUAGCUAGCCCUCCCCGACAAAAACAACAAAUCCUCAUUAAUAACCCCAAACACACUGACAACCAACAAAACAAACCAUUUUUCCCCCUAAGUAUAGGCGAUAGAAAAG
Molecule: ribosomal RNA, 115 nt
Filed under: Erythrocles schlegelii (Japanese rubyfish)
Lineage: Eukaryota; Metazoa; Chordata; Actinopteri; Emmelichthyidae
Description: partial 16S ribosomal RNA
Source: RNAcentral